RNAcentral lists this non-coding RNA (28 nucleotides) under Mus musculus (house mouse). The record is from RNAcentral. Lineage: Eukaryota; Metazoa; Chordata; Mammalia; Rodentia; Muridae.
UCGAGAAUGUGUCUAGGAACAGACCCGA